CUGCUGCAGAAGGAGGUGGGAGAGGAAAACAUCAGACAAGCAGAACCCUUAAAGAGAGCAGGGUUAGGAGUCAGGGAGAGGAAAAGGGACCCAAGGGGCCUGGGACUAGCUGAGAAAGGCUUAGGAGGCCAGAAGAGAGAUCAAAGACGCUGGCCUUCAGACCUGAUCAGACUCCCAGGGCGGGCCACCACAUCUAUGACAGAGGACAGAGGAUGCCUCUUUUUGCCCCAAAGCUGGAAAUUCAUCACAACCUGAGGCCCAGGAUCCGCUCUGUGCCGGUCCUCUGGACAGUGUGGGGUGCAGAGUGGGGUGCCUAGGCCUGAGCGCUGCCUGAAGCCUAGGCCGGGGGCCGCCCUCGGGCAGGCGUGGGUGGGAGCCAAGCCCGCGUGGGCCGCGGGGUGCUGGUAGGAGUGGUUGGAGAGACUUGCGGAGGCGGCUGGGGUGUUCGGAUUUCCAAUAAAGAGACAGUGUGAU
This 474-nucleotide small RNA is filed under the name Pongo abelii (Sumatran orangutan). Its description in RNAcentral is "processed transcript". The record is from RNAcentral. Lineage: Eukaryota; Metazoa; Chordata; Mammalia; Primates; Hominidae.